RNAcentral lists this ribosomal RNA (254 nucleotides) under uncultured bacterium. RNAcentral describes it as "partial 16S ribosomal RNA". It matches the Rfam family "Bacterial small subunit ribosomal RNA", at positions 524 to 776 of the family's 1533-position model. The record is from RNAcentral.
CACGUAGGCACCAAGCGUUGUCCGGAUUUAUUGGGCGUAAAGAGCUCGUAGGCGGUUCGGUAAGUCGGGUGUGAAAACUUUGGGCUCAACCCAAAGCGUGCACUCGAUACUGCCGUGACUAGAGUUCGGUAGGGGAGCGGGGAAUUCCUAGUGUAGCGGUGAAAUGCGCAGAUAUUAGGAGGAACACCGGUGGCGAAGGCGCCGCUCUGGGCCGAAACUGACGCUGAGGAGCGAAAGCGUGGGUAGCAAACAGG